AAACCCAUGUAUAUAUAUAAUUUAUUUACUGUAGCCCCAAAGGACCCUAAGGUCCUCGGCAACGACGUCAUCAAUUGUGCCAAAACGGCGCCGGAGCGAUCCUCAAACGACGUUAGCAGCGGCCCCAAAACGAUCUUCUGUGAUCUCCGAACGACGCCAAAACGGCGUCAUCUUCUCCAAUCGUUAACGAUGCCGAGAGUGGCGUCGUAAGGAGUGCCAUCAUCGGAACAACAACGCUUUCACAGAAAGAUGUUGUAACAACGUCGUUGGGAAGCCUGCAACAACGCCCAAAACGACGCUUCUCACCGAUGUGAAAUGGUGCCUGAACGGCGUCCCUGGAACGCUUGCAACAAUGGUGCCAAAACGACGCCUUGAAGGCGCCACUUGACUGGGAACGACGUUUGAACUACAUCGCCGAUUGGAAACGACGCCAUAACGACGUCUUGAUUGCUUGAAACGGCGUUAUAGCGGUGCCGUCACGGCCUGCAACGACGUUCCUAUCCCCCCUCUAGGUUUUAUCAUAGGGAUUUAGCGUUCGGAGAUGCCGGUAGUGGUGCCAAACGACACCACAACGUGCAAGGCGGCAUCGCAGCAUCACCGCGGUAAA
Molecule: long non-coding RNA, 607 nt
Filed under: Vitis vinifera (wine grape)
Lineage: Eukaryota; Viridiplantae; Streptophyta; Magnoliopsida; Vitales; Vitaceae
Description: long non-coding RNA (VVIN_LNC001972)
Source: RNAcentral